AGUGUAUAUUAAUAGCACAUAAAUCCCAUUCAACUUAAAAAUUGCACGCAUAGAAAGGAGCCCUGGCAUUCCCCGCCACGCUUUAGCGUCGAAUUAGAAAGGAGCCCUAGGGUUUUUCUCUUUCCGACCUCUGAGUCUCAGGCAAAUCAUGGGUGGAGGCAACGGUCAGAAAGCGAAGAUGGCUCGGGAGAGGAAUCUGGAGAAGCUGAAGGGUGCUAAAGGAAGUCAGCUCGAUACGAACAAAAAGGCCAUGAAUAUCCAGUGCAAGGUAUGUAUGCAGACAUUUAUGUGCACAACAUCAGAGGUGAAGUGUAAGGAACAUGCUGAAGCAAAGCACCCAAAAUCUGAUCUCUAUGCUUGUUUUCCUCAUCUCAAAAGUUGAAGUCCUUUUAUGUGUCAAACAUCCUUGCAGAAAAAAAAAGUUGGUAUGAUUAAUGAUCUACCAGUCACUAAAUGCAACAGUCAGCUCAAUCACGCUGUGAACUGUUUGUAGUUAUUGUGUGUGUGUUUGUGAGACUUGCAACUUGUGUUAAUGGUUCGUCUUAAUAAUGAAGCUUCCUGUCGACAAGACAAUGUCAUAUGACAUGAAACAAGCAGUUGCUGAAAUUAAAACCUAUAUGUUAAGAAAUUAGAAACCAUUU
Molecule: unclassified non-coding RNA, 641 nt
Filed under: Hevea brasiliensis (rubber tree)
Lineage: Eukaryota; Viridiplantae; Streptophyta; Magnoliopsida; Malpighiales; Euphorbiaceae
Source: RNAcentral